CGGUUCGGUUCGGUUUUCGGUUCUGACAAUGAAAACCCCAACCGAACCGAACCGAACCGGUAUAUUAAAAACCUUAAAAAACAACCCCACCCCACCCCCAAACGUGACUCCUCUCCUGACUCCCUCGUGACCUAACUCCCACCCCCAAACAGAAACCUAGAUCUAGGCCUCUAGCUGCUCUCUUCUCUCCGUCUCGCACUCUUGUUCUCUGCACUGGAGUCUCGAGCUCGAAGCCCUUCCUCCCACCACCUGGCAGCGCCGCCGAAGCCUUAUUCCCAGCGAGCACCGACCCAGCCGCGCUCUUCCCAGCAGCACCGACCCAGCAAUGCUCUUCCCAGCAGCGCUCUUCCCAGCGAGUACCGACCCAGCAGCGCCGAAGCCUUCUUCCUAGUGACAGCGAGCACGGACCCAGCAGCGUUCUUCCCAGUAGCGCCGAAGAGAGGCUUUGCCACUCACCCUAGAAGCAUUGCAGAGAGGGUACGAAGAGCACGAAUUAGCGAAAGAAUCAAGAAAUUGCAAGGCCUUCUCCCGAAAUCUGACAAGUUCAUCCUGAAAGUUGAAAUCCUAUGCGGUAUGUAUCGAGGUAAGA
This is a long non-coding RNA of Arachis duranensis, 589 nucleotides long. RefSeq lists it as uncharacterized. The record is from RefSeq and is a predicted model, not a curated record. Lineage: Eukaryota; Viridiplantae; Streptophyta; Magnoliopsida; Fabales; Fabaceae. The transcript is spliced from 3 exons.